GACGAACGCUGGCGGCGUGCUUAACACAUGCAAGUCGAACGGAAAGGCCUCUUUCGGGGGGUACUCGAGUGGCGAACGGGUGAGUAACACGUGAGUAACCUGCCCUUGACUUUGGGAUAACUUCAGGAAACUGGGGCUAAUACCGGAUAGGAGCUCCUGCUGCAUGGUGGGGGUUGGAAAGUUUCGGCGGUUGGGGAUGGACUCGCGGCUUAUCAGCUUGUUGGUGGGGUAGUGGCUUACCAAGGCUUUGACGGGUAGCCGGCCCGAGAGGGUGACCGGCCACAUUGGGACUGAGAUACGGUCCAGACUCCUACGGGAGGCAGCAGGGGGGAAUAUUGCACAAUGGGUGGAAGCCUGAUGCAGCAACGCCGUGUGCGGGAUGACGGCCUUCGGGUUGUAAACCGCUUUCGCUCAUGACGAAGCUUUGUGUGACGGUAGUGGGUAAAGAAGCACCGGCUAACUACGUG
This 467-nucleotide ribosomal RNA is filed under the name uncultured bacterium. RNAcentral describes it as "partial 16S ribosomal RNA". It matches the Rfam family "Bacterial small subunit ribosomal RNA", at positions 28 to 507 of the family's 1533-position model. The record is from RNAcentral.